This 392-nucleotide ribosomal RNA is filed under the name uncultured Gammaproteobacteria bacterium. RNAcentral describes it as "bacterial SSU rRNA". It matches the Rfam family "Bacterial small subunit ribosomal RNA", at positions 370 to 779 of the family's 1533-position model. The record is from RNAcentral. Lineage: Bacteria; Pseudomonadati; Pseudomonadota; Gammaproteobacteria.
AAUGGAGGAAACUCUGAUCCAGCAAUGCCGCGUGUGUGAUGAAGGCCUUAGGGUUGUAAAACACUUUCAACGGUGAAGAUGAUGACGGUAGCCGUAGAAGAAGCCCCGGCUAACUUCGUGCCAGCAGCCGCGGUAAUACGAAGAGGGCGAGCGUUGUUCGGAAUUAUUGGGCGUAAAGGGCGCGCAGGCGGUUUGGAUAGUUAGACGUGAAAGCCCUGGGCUUAACCUAGGAACUGCGUUUAAUACUGCCAAACUAGAGAACUAGAGAGGAUAGCGGAACUCCCAGUGUAGAGGUGAAAUUCGUAGAUAUUGGGAAGAACAUCAGUGGCGAAAGCGGCUGUCUGGCUAGUUUCUGACGCUGAGGCGCGAAAGCGUGGGGAGCAAACAGGAUU